Non-coding RNA from Rattus norvegicus (Norway rat), 3507 nucleotides. Lineage: Eukaryota; Metazoa; Chordata; Mammalia; Rodentia; Muridae. The record is from RefSeq and is a predicted model, not a curated record.
UCCUCACUAAGCCCCUCAGACUUUCUAGUGUCCAGAAACUCCCAGCACGCGGGCUGCUCUCUGCGCAUGCGGGCUGCUCUCUGCGCAUGCGGGCUGCUCUCUGCGUUCUCUCAGGGAUGGCUCCCUAGAGACUCAAUGCUACAGCAGGGAGAGGCCAAGAGUCCAAAGGAGUGGCUAGGAAAUGCAGCCUGUCCUCUGCAUCCUGCAGUGAAGGAAGUGGCUGACCCCGCAUCCGCCUGAGCUCACGCAUGCAUCCUCAGUACCGCAGGAACCACGGGAAGUUUUUAAAAAGAUUUAUUUUUAAAUUUCAUUUUAGAUGUGUGAGUGUUUGCCUGCAUGCAGUGUGUGCACUGUGUGAGUGCAGUGCCAGCAGAGGCCAGAAGAGGGCGCCGGGUUCCCUGGGAUGGAAGUUUCAGGUGGUUAGGAGCCACCAUACGUGGACUGUGGGAACUGAACUGAGGUUCUUUGCAAGAGUAGCCACUGCUCCUAACCGCUGAGGUCUCUCUCCAGGCCCUGCUGGAACAUCUUAAGCAAAUCAUUGAAAAGUCUCACUAGACACUGCUUAGUGAGCUGUUGGAGGUCCCACUGAGUAAGUGUGCCCUGCAAGCACUCAGGCUGCCUGGAGUGGCCUGCUUUAUGUUCCUUGGAGACUUUCAACUUCCAUAGGGUUAGAGGUGACAGCUGUGUCACUUACGUGUGGCACAAUGUCUGAUGAAUGGAAAUUGCACAGAUGGGGCCAAAGAAUGACCUAGUGUAUUUGUGUACUUCAUUUACACACACACACACACACACACACACACACACACCACCUAUACACACACUCACACAUCACACACUCACACACAUCCCAUAUAUACUCUAUAUAUAUAUAUAUAUAUUAUACACACACACCACUUAUACACACAUCACACACUCACACAUCACACACACAGUCACACACAUCCCAUAUAUAUUCACACACACACACACACACACACACACACACACACACACAGUCACACACACACAGCAUUUGGGAGGUGGAGUCAGGAGGACAGGAGCUCAGACCCAGCCUUAGCUGCAGAGCAUGUUGUGUGAGACCCUGUCUCAAAACAGUUUCUUUUUCUUGUUCUUUUCUUUUUUUGUUCAAUUUGUAGGUCGACAGCCAUUAAAGUAGGCAUGUAUGAGCUCAUGUGUGUUUAAGAGUUGCUGGCAAGAUUCAGUGCCCAGAAGUCACUUACCGGGGUACAGCAAGGCCAUCUUCCAGUCUGCAACAGAACAGAUUCAAGACUGUAGCGAAGCUGGUCCAAGCAAGGAUGACCAAUAAUAUGGGGAGAAUACAAGCCAGGGCUACUUUCCAUGGAGACGUCGUGGGGAAGAAGGGCUCUGACAGGGUGCACGCAGACAGUCAGGAACAAGCGGUCUUUCAGCCCUUCUCCCUCCCUUCCCUCGCCCACCCCAUCAGAGUUUGGCCCUCACUGACCUGGGAGGAGGAUGGCCUUUGAUUUCUCCUGGUCCCAGAUGGGAUUUUGAAUGGAGCAGAUCACAUUGCCUAUAGCUCUGUCUGUGACCAAAAGAGACGUUUCUAUGUGGAAGAGUCCAUCUCUGUCCAGGGUCUGUGACUCAGAAGAGGACAGUAGAGUGUCCCCGAUGGUGUCUCUCCACUGCACUCUGGGUUUCGGGAACCAGCCACUCGAGGAGCACAACACUCGGAUGCCAUUGUUCUCAGGUCCUGUCAUGUGAACAAGAGGGGCAGAGCCUAAACCUGAGGAGAGAGGACAAGAGCUUGAGGCCUGUGGCCCGAGGGAAGAUGGCCUUCACUACACUGAAGAGGUCAGACAAGACUACCCUGUGACUGACUCUGCCUGACCUCAGCUUUGCAUGUGCGUGGGCUGGCAGAGGUUAAGGAUCAGUCUAGGAAAAGUCAAAACUUGAAAAUUGGCCCAGUUUUUAUUUUCUGUCUUGGUUUACUGAAAGUCAAGGCCAGCGAGUGUCAGCAUUACUACCAAAUAAACUUCCUGGGGUCUUUUAAGACAUCAAAACAGGCUCAGAGGGUUGGGCAAGUGCAUCAGCGAGCAGAGUGUCCGUUGGGCAGACAUGAGGACCAGAGUUCAUGUCCCCGAAGCUGUGUAAAAACCUGGGUGUGGUGGCAGAAGCUCAGGGACCAGACAGGUGGAUGCCUGGGGCUCACUGACUGCUCAGCUAAGCUGAAUUAGUAAGAAGCCAAUGAGAAUCCAGUCUCAAAGGCAUGGUGGACAGUGACUGGGGUUGACCUCUGCCUUCCACACAUACACAUAUCUGUGUAUACACACCUGCAUGCACACACAUGCGCACACACAGGCACAUACACAUAUAUGCACACACAUACAGGCACACACACACAGAGACACACAUGGAGACACAUGCACACCACACACAUGUACACACAUGUAGAGACACACAUGCAUGCACACACACAUGUGCACACACAGGCACAUACACAUAUAUGCACACACAUACAGGCACACACACACAGAGACACACAUGGAGACACAUACACACCACACAUAUGUACACACAUGCACAGACACACACAUGCAUGCACACACACAUGUGCACACAAAGGCACAUACACAUACAUGCACACACAUACAGGCACACACAGAGAAACACAUACACUCACACUUGGAGACACACACUAUACACACACCACACACACACAUAUAUAGUCACACACACACAUGCGCACACGUGCACAUACACACUCACACACGGAGACACCACACACACACAUACACAUACAUGUACACACAUGCACAGCCAUACACAUGCAUGCACACACAUGCACACACGCACGUGCACACACACACACACACACACACCUCUUAGGUUCAAAAAAGCAAAGUCUGUGAUGUUAAACUCUGCCGAGCACAGCCUCAUUCUCAGUGGAUACUGCAGGGAGCAAAUAUCCCACAGAGAUAUCAACACAUCAAGACCCCAGGCAGUUCCAGGUUAAGCGUAAGGAGGAUCAGGAGCAGUUUCCUAUUUGUCACACAUCAUGAUCCUAUGCCAAGCUCACGCACCUACGACCUGAAGUUCUAUGGAGACUUCUUGGGAGGUGAAGCCAUCUGAAAACUGACAGUGGUACAGGCCAUCGUCAGAGGCUUGGACUUGCUGUAUCUGCAGAGCCACACUGCCCGUGUCGAUGUCAUGUCCCAGCAUCUGGGUCCUGCCCUCGUACUCCGGCAUCUGCACCUCUCCCUGCACCUGUCCAUUGUGGAACACCAGCACAGCGGGGGUGAGCUGGGCACGGUACCAUCGGAUGUGCAUGUGAGCUGCACUCUGCUUAGGAGACAGCUGGCAGGGCAGGGUGGCAUCAGUCCCCAGCAGGACCGUGAUGGGCUCAGCUGGUCCCUUCACAGAAAACCAAGACGCUUCUGGGGACCAGAGACAGAUUGUGGAAGCAAGUUAGAGAUAUGAGACUUAAACAAACAACCCUGCAUUUCCAUAUUUAGGGAACUAAACAUAUUUCUCCUUUGUAUUACUUUA